Molecule: ribosomal RNA, 277 nt
Filed under: uncultured bacterium
Lineage: Bacteria
Description: partial 16S ribosomal RNA
Rfam family: Bacterial small subunit ribosomal RNA
Source: RNAcentral
GCAAACUGGAGAUGGCGACCGGCGCACGGGUGAGUAACACGUAUCCAACCUGCCGAUAACUCGGGGAUAGCCUUUCGAAAGAAAGAUUAAUACCCGAUGGCAUAAUAGAACCGCAUGGUUUGAUUAUUAAAGAAUUUCGGUUAUCGAUGGGGAUGCGUUCCAUUAGGCAGUUGGUGGGGUAACGGCCCACCAAACCUUCGAUGGAUAGGGGUUCUGAGAGGAAGGUCCCCCACAUUGGAACUGAGACACGGUCCAAACUCCUACGGGAGGCAGCAUG